CAGAGAGUAGUUUAAAUAAAAUAUUAAUUUUGGAGAUUAAAGAUAAGAAGUCUUCUUUUCUCUGA
RNAcentral lists this transfer RNA (65 nucleotides) under Staphylinidae sp. BMNH 1274222. RNAcentral's name for it is "tRNA-Pro". The record is from RNAcentral. Lineage: Eukaryota; Metazoa; Arthropoda; Insecta; Coleoptera; Staphylinidae.